This is a long non-coding RNA of Gasterosteus aculeatus aculeatus (three-spined stickleback), 444 nucleotides long. The record is from Ensembl. Lineage: Eukaryota; Metazoa; Chordata; Actinopteri; Perciformes; Gasterosteidae.
GUGUGUAGAAUCCAGCCGAAGACCGGACUUCAUUCUAUUGGGAGGUAACCUGGUUAAGAUGGAGGAAUCUGAAAAAGGACCAGAUCUAAAAUUGUUUUCCACCACGAAUAACUCCAAUCAAGUCACAAGACGUGGGAGGGAAACACAAGAGGAGAGAGUUCCUGUUGGAGCGGUGGACCUGACAGGGCUGACGGAAACACUUCUCAUCUUCAAAGUGAUGAGGAGGAUCUUGAGCCUCCCUUGCCCCUGAGAUCUGUGGACGAGGUGCCAAACUACAGACCCCUUCCACCUCCUCACCAUCACAUGAAAAACUACGACCUCCAUCGCGUUAUGGAGGCCAGAUAUUAUCACUCUGCAGGAGGAGUGCAGAACAACAACCCCGGCCCCCUCAACGCGUACCCUCCUCAGCUACGUCACCACUGUGCUUCCUGCCCCCACAGGGAC